GUAGGUGAACCUGCGGAAGGAUCAUUAAUUAUCGGUAGUUUACUACCGUUUGAAGGGGGUGGAAAGUCUCCAGGGCUUCCUGGGGUCAAGUACACCCUGUUCUUAACCCUUGACUUUUUGCGCACUCAUGUUUCCUCGGUGGGCUUGCCUGCCGAAUGGACAAACCAAUAACCUAUUUAAUUUUUAAUCAGCGUCUGAAUUAUUUUAAUAAUUACAACUUUCAACAACGGAUCUCUUGGUUCUGGCAUCG
Molecule: unclassified non-coding RNA, 250 nt
Filed under: plant metagenome
Description: partial contains small subunit ribosomal RNA, internal transcribed spacer 1, and 5.8S ribosomal RNA
Source: RNAcentral